RNAcentral lists this unclassified non-coding RNA (1670 nucleotides) under Dermacentor andersoni. Its description in RNAcentral is "eGF domain-specific O-linked N-acetylglucosamine transferase-like". The record is from RNAcentral. Lineage: Eukaryota; Metazoa; Arthropoda; Arachnida; Ixodida; Ixodidae.
UUUUAGCGAGGAUUGUUUUUGCAGUCUGGUGACUAUGUGUCGGUCAAGCUGAAGCAGACAGCACGUUAUGCUCCGGCCGGUUUUCUCGGCAUGUGAAGUAUAGCUGUCAUGAAAAUUGUGUCUGACGCCAAAAAGAGCCCGUCCUUGCACUGAAAAGAGACGCGUCUGCGAGAUCUCCUGAACGAACCCUCUAGGACAAUGCGUCCGGCGUGUUGUUAUUUUAUGGCUGCUACGGCCACAAUUGCUGCUUACUACUUGCCCGAGGUGUGCGGCCAGAAGCCUUACGACGUGCGGCUACCAGAGGAACACAUGGGCAUGUUCUUUCACAACAGCCCUGAAGCUGCGCGCAGCUGUCGGGAGGAACCUGCCUGCCCGCACAAGCAUUUCAUCAAUGCGAAAACCUGCUGGGGAUACGAGCCUGGCUGCUUGCCACAACACAGAUACUGUCUUGCCGCCUGUCCUGAGGGUUCAGCUGGGUGGGCAUCAAACAAACAGCAGCAAGAGCAGCUUUUCUUCAACCAGGGUGACUUUGGCUUCAUCCACGAACGUAAGAAGACUCUCGGCAUUCUCUGUCGGCCGCACAAACCGGGUGCUUCAUUGCUGGAAUGUGUCCGUCACAUGGAACUCUGUCGGGCCAAGAACAUACGUCUGGACUUCCAACGCUUGCUGAGCAUGACUGGGCUUGUCAAGUACCGAGAGGACAUCCUGGGCCCUGGCCUUGUUGGCGGCUACUGUCGGCUCGACAAAGACUCUCUGCACCUUGAAGGGGACCACAAGAGCCCUUUACAAUCAUGGUACGCUGAACUGGAGCACUUUGAAGAGUUCAAAGAGCUGCCUUUCGAGGAAAGUGGCUGUGAUGUUAUCCUGGGUCGGCCAACGGUCAUCAUGAAGCUCGAUGCCACUGUGAACAUGUACCACCACUUCUGCGACUUCCUCAACCUCUACCUGACCAUGCACUUCAACAAUAGCCUCGCUGGGGAUUUCGACAUCCUCAUCUGGGACACGCUCCCUUACAAGGGCACGUUCCUGCCAAUGUGGUCAGCAUUCCAUUCGGGAAAGCUGAGAAGCCUGUCUGAGUUUCGAGGAAAGAAGGUGUGUCUGCGAGAGGCACUGUUUGCCUUCCUGCCACGCAUGAUCUUUGGCAUGUACUACAACCUGCCUCUGGUUCCUGGCUGUCAUUCAAGUGGGGUGUUCAAAGCCUUCAAUCGCCACGUGCUGCACAAGCUUGAUGUUAAAGUGCUCCCACCGGAAGAUUAUGUACGUGUUACGCUGCUAUCUAGGGGAACUAAGCACCGUCGCAUUCUAAAUGAAGACGAGCUGCUUGCAGCAGCUAGGAAGCUUCCAGAUGCAUCUGUGCAGAGGGUCCACUUCAACCAUGCAACUGACUUUCGUCACCAAAUUGAGGUUGGCUCACCAGAUUCCUCCUUUGUUUUUCUCGCUCUCUCCAUCCUUGCAUUCCUGGCAUCCACGCAUAAAUAUAAUGGCAAACACUGAUGUGCUCAUCGGAAUGCAUGGUGCUGGUUUGACACAUGUGCUGUUCCAGCCAGACUGGGCCGUCCUUUUCGAGAUCUACAACUGUGACGACCCAGUGUGCUACAAGGACUUGGCACGACUGCGCGGCGUCAAGUAUCUCACGUGGGAAAACACCACAAAACUUCGCCCUGAAGAUG